Molecule: ribosomal RNA, 253 nt
Filed under: uncultured bacterium
Lineage: Bacteria
Description: partial 16S ribosomal RNA
Rfam family: Bacterial small subunit ribosomal RNA
Source: RNAcentral
UACGUAGGGACCAAGCGUUGUUCGGAUUUACUGGGCGUAAAGGGCGCGUAGGCGGCAAUUCAAGUCAUCUGUGAAAUCUCCGAGCUUAACUCGGAACGGUCAGAUGAUACUGUUUUGCUAGAGUACAGAAGGGGCAAUCGGAAUUCUUGGUGUAGUGGUGAAAUGCGUAGAUAUCAAGAGGAACACCUGAGGUGAAGACGGGUUGCUGGGCUGAUACUGACGCUGAGGCGCGAAAGCUAGGGUAGCAAACGGG